GGUAUGAAUGGCUAAACGAGAAAUCUUCUUUUUUUAUUAUAAAUAUAGAAUUUAUUUUUUUAGUGAAAAAACUAAAAUAUUCCUGAAAGACGAGAAGACCCUAUAGAGUUUUAGACAGUAAGUUAUCAUAUUGCAUUAGAUUUGUGCCGAUAUGAUUUUAUUCUGUAAUUUGUUGGGGCGACAUUAAGAUAAAAAAAACUCUUUUUUAUAAAAACUUUGAUAAAUGAAUAAUUUGAUCCUUUAAAAAAGAUAAUAAGAUAAAAUUACCUUAGGGAUAACAGCGUAAUCUUUUUUGAGAGUUCUAAUCGACAAAAAGGUUUGCGACCUCGAUGUUGGACUAAAAUUUAGAUGUGGUGCAGCAGCUACAUUUUAGGGUCUGUUCGACCCAUAAUAUUUUACAUGAUCUGAGUUCAGACCGGCGUGAGCCAGGUUGGU
Molecule: ribosomal RNA, 435 nt
Filed under: Chthamalus challengeri
Lineage: Eukaryota; Metazoa; Arthropoda; Thecostraca; Balanomorpha; Chthamalidae
Description: partial 16S ribosomal RNA
Rfam family: Bacterial large subunit ribosomal RNA (bases 58-435)
Source: RNAcentral